GUUGAGAUGGUCGAGUUAGUCUAAGGCGCUAGAUUAAGGUUCUGAUCCGAAAGGACGUGGGUUCAAAUCCCACUCUCAACA
Molecule: non-coding RNA, 81 nt
Organism: Capsicum annuum
Lineage: Eukaryota; Viridiplantae; Streptophyta; Magnoliopsida; Solanales; Solanaceae
Source: Rfam